UGUAGGUAUAAGAUAAAAGGAUAUCCAACACAGCACUUUUUCUCUCCUCUCAAGAUCCCAGAAUUCCCCAGGCCAGACAGAACACUGAGACCUCUAGGAAGGGCAUAGAAAAUGAAGAACAGAGGCUAAGAGGCAGAGAGGGGAACCCAGGGGAGAGGAAGACCCAUUUGAGUGUGCCCCACCUCCUCCUCAACACACACCCACACCCUACAGGACUUGAGACUUCCCGCAAACCAAAGGGAGGGCACGGCACGGCGCGGCACGGGCCCCAAGCCAAACCAAAGAGAGAAAACGGAAGGAGAAAGGAGAGGCUGGUCAGACAGAUGCCAGGGAGCUGGGGUUGGAACUCAGAUGAUCAGGCUUGUGUGGCAACCAUCUUACCUACUGAGCCAUCCUGCCAACCAGGCCAGGUGCUUCCAGCUGAAGUUUCAAGGACAACUCUCCUUGGGCUGGCAGGUCACAUGCCUAUCACUGAACCAAGUCUGGAGCCAAGAGAAUAAUAAAAUGCUGUCAUUUUA
This is a long non-coding RNA of Nannospalax galili (Upper Galilee mountains blind mole rat), 518 nucleotides long. RefSeq lists it as uncharacterized. NCBI's taxonomy places the organism in Eukaryota, Metazoa, Chordata, Mammalia, Rodentia, Spalacidae. The transcript has 4 exons. The record is from RefSeq and is a predicted model, not a curated record.